AAGACACUGUCAGUUGCAUUUGCAAACUGUGGGAUGAUGUUCAGGGCAGCCAGUGAUGGUGUCCGCUAACUUCUUUGGUAUGCAGUUUCUCACCUUUGGCCAUAAUGUAUCACAUCUAUGGACAACCAUAUCCUUUUGUACUGAUAUCCUUACUGUGGUGGUUUAAAAGAAAAUGGCCCCCAAAGGGAGGGGCACUAUUAGGAGGUGUGACCUUGUUGGAGUAGGCUCUCAAAGAGGUUUAUCUAUCAAGGAUCAGCCGUGGCAUGAUUCCCACGCACUGGAAUCCAUUUCCCUGGCUUCUGAAUGUGAUCUGUGACUCGGCUUUCGCUGGAUAAAGUGCCAAGCUGCAUUCUAGGAAACACUCAAGAUCAGGAAUCACCAAGCACUGUGUGCCCUUCAGUAUGGCUUCACAUUCUUUUCCCACUAAGGACAUAAAACAAAAACAAGAACCCACACAGGGCAAACUUUGUAAAUUGCAUUAUAAAACCAAUGUCUGCUUUGUGAGCACAUAUGAAUUUUGCUGCCUGUUGGAAUUAAACCACAUAAAUGUUCCUUGCAAAUUUAAUGUCUGAUGUGACUGCACAUUUUAGUUUUCCCGGGAAAGGUGCGAUACAGAACUAUUGUACUGACAUAAUUAUCAUACAACUAACCUUCUACUCUCAAACAUUGGAGUAAAUAUCAAACUACAAGGUUUGUUCUAG
RNAcentral lists this long non-coding RNA (701 nucleotides) under Cricetulus griseus (Chinese hamster). Its description in RNAcentral is "lncRNA (ENSCGRG00015034028.1)". The record is from RNAcentral. Lineage: Eukaryota; Metazoa; Chordata; Mammalia; Rodentia; Cricetidae.